This 694-nucleotide ribosomal RNA is filed under the name uncultured archaeon. RNAcentral describes it as "bacterial SSU rRNA". It matches the Rfam family "Archaeal small subunit ribosomal RNA", at positions 154 to 851 of the family's 1478-position model. The record is from RNAcentral.
CGAUAGAUCAAGAUAUCUGGAAUGGUUUUUGAUCAAAAUCUAUAUGGCCUUUGGAUUGGACUGCGUCCGAUCAGGCUGUUGGUGAGGUAAUGGCCCACCAAACCUGUAACCGGUACGGGCUCUGAGAGGAGGAGCCCGGAGAUGGGUACUGAGAAAAGGACCCAGGCCCUAUGGGGCGCAGCAGGCGCGAAACCUCUGCAAUAGGCGAAAGCCUGACAGGGUUACUCUGAGUGACUUUCGCUAAGAAAGUCUUUUGACACCUCUAAAAAUGGUGUAGAAUAAGGGGUGGGCAAGUCUGGUGUCAGCCGCCGCGGUAAUACCAGCACCCCGAGUGGUCGGGACGAUUAUUGGGCCUAAAGCAUCCGUAGCCGGUUUUACAAGUCCUCCGUUAAAUCCAGCUGCUUAACAGAUGGGCUGCGGAGGAUACUAUAAGACUAGGAGGCAGGAGAGGCAAGCGGUACUCAGUGGGUAGGGGUAAAAUCCGUUGAUCCAUUGAAGACCACCAGUGGCGAAGGCGGCUUGCCAGAAUGCGCUCGACGGUGAGGGAUGAAAGCUGGGGGAGCAAACCGGAUUAGAUACCCGGGUAGUCCCAGCUGUAAACGAUGCAGACUCGGUGAUGGACUAGCUUUAUGCUAGUCCAGUGCCGCAGGGAAGCCGUUAAGUCUGCCGCCUGGGUAGUACGGUCGCAAGACUG